GCCAGACUCCUACGGGAGGCAGCAGUGGGGGAUAUUGCACAAUGGGGGGAACCCUGAUGCAGCGACGCCGCGUGGGUGAAGAAGUAUUUCGGUAUGUAAAGCCCUAUCGGCAGGGAAGAAAUUGGACGGUACCUGACUAAGAAGCCCUGGCUAACUACGUGCCAGCAGCCGCGGUAAUACGUAGGGGGCAAGCGUUAUCCGGAUUCACUGGGUGUAAAGGGAGCGUAGACGGCCAUGCAAGCCUGGAGUGAAAGCCCGGGGCCCAACCCCGGGACUGCUCUGGGAACUGUGCGGCUGGAGUGCGGGAGGGGCAGGCGGAAUUCCUGGUGUAGCGGUGAAAUGCGUAGAUAUCAGGAGGAACACCGGCGGCGAAGGCGGCCUGCUGGACCGCGACUGACGUUGAGGCUCGAAAGCGUGGGGAGCAAACAGGAUUAGAUACCCGUGUA
Molecule: ribosomal RNA, 446 nt
Filed under: uncultured bacterium
Lineage: Bacteria
Description: bacterial SSU rRNA
Rfam family: Bacterial small subunit ribosomal RNA
Source: RNAcentral